UUUCCCUACGGGACGCAGCAGUGGGGGAUAUUGGACAAUGGGGGAAACCCUGAUCCAGCGAUGCCGCGUGAGGGAAGAAGGUUUUCGGAUUGUAAACCUCUGUGGAGGGGGACGAUAAUGACGGUACCCCUUUAGGAAGCCACGGCUAACUACGUGCCAGCAGCCGCGGUAAUACGUAGGUGGCGAGCGUUGUCCGGAUUUACUGGGUGUAAAGGGAGCGUAGACGGAGGAGCAAGUCUGAUGUGAAAAUCCGGGGCCCAACCCCGGAACUGCAUUGGAAACUGUUUAUCUAGAGUGUCGGAGAG
Molecule: ribosomal RNA, 305 nt
Filed under: uncultured bacterium
Lineage: Bacteria
Description: bacterial SSU rRNA
Rfam family: Bacterial small subunit ribosomal RNA
Source: RNAcentral